This 73-nucleotide transfer RNA is filed under the name Uraspis helvola (whitemouth jack). RNAcentral's name for it is "tRNA-His". It matches the Rfam family "tRNA". From Rfam's summary of the family: Transfer RNA (tRNA) molecules are approximately 80 nucleotides in length. Their secondary structure includes four short double-helical elements and three loops (D, anti-codon, and T loops). Further hydrogen bonds mediate the characteristic L-shaped molecular structure. tRNAs have two regions of fundamental functional importance: the anti-codon, which is responsible for specific mRNA codon recognition, and the 3' end, to which the tRNAs corresponding amino acid is attached (by aminoacyl-tRNA synthetases). tRNAs cope with the degeneracy of the genetic code in two manners: having more than one tRNA (with a specific anti-codon) for a particular amino acid; and 'wobble' base-pairing, i.e. permitting non-standard base-pairing at the 3rd anti-codon position. The record is from RNAcentral. Lineage: Eukaryota; Metazoa; Chordata; Actinopteri; Carangiformes; Carangidae.
GUGAAUGUAGUUUAAACAUAAAACGCUAGAUUGUGAUUCUAGAAACUGGAGGUUAAACUCCUCUCAUUCACCG